RNAcentral lists this ribosomal RNA (253 nucleotides) under uncultured bacterium. RNAcentral describes it as "partial 16S ribosomal RNA". It matches the Rfam family "Bacterial small subunit ribosomal RNA", at positions 524 to 776 of the family's 1533-position model. The record is from RNAcentral.
UACAGAGGGUGCAAGCGUUGUUCGGAAUUAUUGGGCGUAAAGAGCUCGUAGGCGGUUUGUCGCGUCUGCUGUGAAAUCCCGAGGCUCAACCUCGGGUCUGCAGUGGGUACGGGCAGACUGGAGUGCGGUAGGGGAGAAUGGAAUUCCUGGUGUAGCGGUGGAAUGCGCAGAUAUCAGGAGGAACACCGAUGGCGAAGGCGGUUCUCUGGGCCGUAACUGACGCUGAGGAGCGAAAGCGUGGGGAGCGAACAGG